RNAcentral lists this ribosomal RNA (139 nucleotides) under Fragilariopsis kerguelensis. RNAcentral describes it as "partial Trypanosomatid mitochondrial large subunit ribosomal RNA". The record is from RNAcentral. Lineage: Eukaryota; Bacillariophyta; Bacillariophyceae; Bacillariales; Bacillariaceae.
AAAAAGAACCACCACAAAAAGAAUUACUCAAUAAUAAUUAGACAAUUAAAAUAGACUUGCAGUUCGCGGUAAAGGGAACCGCUCACGAUACAGUAGUUGAUAGAUAGGCAAGUUCAUGCUUAAUUAGUAGAAUGAGUGU